RNAcentral lists this ribosomal RNA (1374 nucleotides) under Triticum aestivum (bread wheat). RNAcentral's name for it is "partial small subunit ribosomal RNA". The record is from RNAcentral. Lineage: Eukaryota; Viridiplantae; Streptophyta; Magnoliopsida; Poales; Poaceae.
AUGGCGUCGCGGCAGGCCGCCGGCCUCACCGACUACGAGCGCCUCCGCGAGGAGAACAUCCGCCGCAACGAGGCCAUCCUCGCCUCCCUCCGCCGCAAGGCCGACGAGCUCUCGGCCGCCAUCAAGUCCUCGUCUAAACGAGGACGAGGACGCCCCAGCAAUCAGCCCCGCAAGAAGCCCGCCGCCAAGACAAGCCCCGGCGAGCUCCGCCGCUCCCUCCGACUCUCUCAGCUCCCCCCCUCCCACUCCCCGGACGCCGAGCCCACGCCCGGGCCCCCUCCGGUGCCGCGCAGCACCAGCUUCUCCUCCUCGCUCGCGUCCUCCAUCAUCGAGUCCGCCUCGCUUGCGCCGCCUGCCAGGGUUCGGGCGGACGAUUUCGAUGCCGGGAAGGAGCUCGUGCUGACGCCUGCCAACGUUCGGAAGGUGGUGCCCGACAGGAUACUUGGGGUUCGGGUCCUGCCGCUGGUCGACCGGACCGUGGUUGCGGCGGGGAACAAGUUGGGGAAUGUUGGGUUCUGGGUUGUGGACGGCAUGGUGGAAGAUGAGGAUGGCGACGGUGCGGAUGGGGUGUUCGAGUAUUUGCCUCACAGGGGCCCUGUGCCAGCAAUCGUGGCGCACCCUGCCGCGCCACAGAAGAUUUACAGCUGUAGUUAUGAGGGUGAAAUUUGUCUUAUGGACCUUGAGAAGGAGAGCUUUAAUAUGAUCCAGCUGUGUGACUAUCCUGUUUAUUCACUUUGUCAAGCACCAGAUAGUCCUAGCUGCCUAUAUUUUGGUGAUGGAAAUGGUGAACUGAAACUUCUUGAUGAGCGGAUGGGUAAGGUAUCAACCACAUGGGAUUCACAUGACAAUACAAUUAACUCAAUAGAUUUUCAUCCAGAGAAAAAACAUAUGCUUGCCACAAGUUCAACAGAUCGAACAGCACGCAUAUGGGAUCUCAGAAGGCUUAAAAGGAAGAAAGAAGAGAGCUUGAAGGUUCUAAAACAUAAUAGAUCUGUUCAGUCAGCUUAUUUCUCACCUAGUGGCAGUAUGCUAGCAACAACAAGCCUCGACGAUACUGUCCGAGUCUUUUGUGGGGAUGACUUUGAUAGGUCACACAUUAUCAAGCAUAAUAACCAGACAGGCAGAUGGAUUUCUACAUUCAAGGCAAUCUGGGGCUGGAACGACACCGACCUGUUUAUCGGGAACAUGAAAAGGGCACUAGAUAUUAUCUCAGUUGGUGGCGAUGACAGUAGCCUCUCAGCUUCGAACGGCGCAAGCCUGGAGAGUGAACACAUGACGGCCAUUCCGUGCAGGUUUUCGGCACACCCAUAUAAAGUUGGGCAUCUUGCUUGCGCAAGCUCCGGCGGCAAGGUGUUCUUUUGGACCAGAGCUUGA